CAGCCGCCACGGUAAUACGGAGGGGGCUAGCGUUGUUCGGAAUUACUGGGCGUAAAGCGCACGUAGGCGGCUUGGUAAGUUAGAGGUGAAAGCCUGGAGCUCAACUCCAGAAUUGCCUUUAAGACUGCCGAGCUAGCAGGUGAGAGAGGUAAGUGGAAUUCCGAGUGUAGAGGUGAAAUUCGUAGAUAUUCGGAAGAACACCAGUGGCGAAGGCGGCUUACUGGCUCAUACUGGACGCUGAGGUGCGAAAGCGUGGGGAGCAAACAGGAUUAGAUACCCCGGUAGUCCCUGUCUCUUAUAU
This 301-nucleotide ribosomal RNA is filed under the name uncultured bacterium. Its description in RNAcentral is "partial 16S ribosomal RNA". It matches the Rfam family "Bacterial small subunit ribosomal RNA", at positions 509 to 809 of the family's 1533-position model. The record is from RNAcentral.